Molecule: long non-coding RNA, 3123 nt
Filed under: Malus domestica (apple)
Lineage: Eukaryota; Viridiplantae; Streptophyta; Magnoliopsida; Rosales; Rosaceae
Description: long non-coding RNA (MDOM_LNC018725)
Source: RNAcentral
UUCUAUCAUGAUUAUUUUUGUCUGCCAGGUGAAGAGACAAAGAGAGUGCAGUGGAAAAGAGAAAGCAAAAACAAGGAAUAAACACCCCACCAGAAUGAUGUGGUUUACUUUUCUUGUUUUUGUAUGAUGUAAUUUAUUUUUCAUAUCUUUCAGAGACAUCUAUAUAAACCCCAUUAGAGGGUAAAAACAAAAACGGAAAAGCCCAAAAUAAAUGGGCUGGAAUGUUGUGUAGAGGGUGAAAGCCUAUAAGCCCAAAAUAACUCCAACCAGGCGAUCAAAAGUACGCCCAGUACUCCACAAUUAUUCGGCAACCUGCCGCCAUUACCACCAACCAGGUGACCAAAAGUACGUCUAGUACCCCAAAAUUAUUCGGCAACCUGCCGCUAUUACUACCAACCAGGUGAUGAAAUGUACAACCCAUACUCUCCUUCAUGCCACCAACCAGGUGAUGAAAUGUACAACCCGUACUCUAAUAUUAUUUGGCAACUUGCCACUCAUGCCACUAACUAGGUAAAGAAGGAACUCAUCUUCAUGCCAUCAACUAGGUGAUGAAAUGUACAACCCGUACUCUAAUAUCAUUUGGCAACUUGCCACUCAUGCCACCAACCAGGUGAAGAAGGAACUAAUCUUCAUGCCACCAACCAGGUGAUGAAAUGUACAACCCAUACUCUCUUUCAUGCCACUAACCAUAUGAUGAAAUAUACAACCCGUACUCUCCUUCAUGCUACCAACCACGUGAUCAAAAGUACGCCCAAUACUCCAAAUUAUACAUGAGCAUUACUCAUGUCAUUCAUACAUAAACAUUCAUGAUCAUCACUCAUGAUAAUCAUACAUAAACAUUCAUGAGCAUCACUUAUGUCAAUCAGCUUCAAAAGCUUCAUUUACAGAGCUCUAGCUUCAAAAGCUCCAUUUACAAAAGCUCUAGCUUCAAAAACUUCAUUUACAGAGCUCCAGCUUCAAAGCUUCACUUGCAAAACUUCACUUACAAAGCUUCAGUGCAGGGUAUACAAAUACCACCUUCGAACAACCACCACUUCGGCCCAUACAUGGAUUCAAUUUGAAGUCUCCAGCCAACAGACUCUAUUGACCGAAGACUUGGGGGGACUACAUUUUGUACUAUAUAUUAGGCCUCAACUGGGCCUCAUGAAAAAUACUUGGGGGACUUAGCCCAAUAUUUAUGUAUUAAGGAGUGAGCCCUUAUUCUAUAAAAGGGACUCCCUCACUUUCAUUAGAGAGCACCCAUUAUUCAUGUACUAAAGAGCGAGCCCUUAUUUUAUAAAAGGGACUCCCUCACCUUCAUUAGAGAGCAACGCCGCCAACUGAGCAACCGCCUCGCUGCGAGCAUCACUCCUAAACCAUCACUUAUGUAUUGAAGAGUGAGCCCUUAUUCUAUAAAAGAGACUCCCCACCACCAUUAGAAAGCAUCACCGCCUACUGAGCAACCGCCUCGCCGCGAGCAUCAACUCUAGCCCAUCAUUUAUGUAUUGAGAAGCGAGCCCUUAUUCUAUAAAAUGGACUCUCUCACCUUCAACGCCACAAGCCGAGCCAACCAAGGCAACAUAAGCCACGAGCCGAGCAGCCUCGUAGCAUGUGCUACUUCUAGUUGAGCAUCAUUUCAGAUUGAGCACCACCUCAUAUCUAGCAUCAAGUUCAAGACAACAUCUAGUUACUUCGGCCCACACAUGGACUGAAUUUCAAGUCUCCAGCCAAAAGACUCUCUUGGUUAAAGACUUGGGGGAUUACUGUUUAUACCAUAUUUAGGGCCUCGUAUUUAGAUCUCGUACAAAUACUCGGGAGACUUAAAUAUAAUUAUGUGAUAACGGAAAGGGCAAAUAUGUAAUAAGUGAGGAGCCCUUAUUCUAUAAAAGGACUCCUCACCCUCACAAUUAGGAGGCCAAUUCCUAGGCCUUCUCACCCCCUCUCAAAGCCUCUCCUAUCUAGAGCAAAGCUCUCACACUCUCUCCCUCACAAAUACUCUCAUAGAAAUACAAUCAAUAUGGACGUAGCCCAAACCUUGAGGUGAACCACGAUACAUCUUGUGUUAUUUACUUUCUUGCAGAUUCACGGUCGGAUUUACGUUGUUCCAAGACCUCCGGUUUUGUGCAUCAACAUGUCAUAUAUAGUCAUUAUCAAGAACAAAUUAUUCGAGUAGCGGACAAGCAAGAUGUAAGCAAGAAUAAUUUGAUUACAAGAGAGUCUAAUAAUAAAAUAGAUAAGAAAUAUAAUUUAAUAUACUUAGGAACAAUAGUAGUAGGAGUUACGAGUCUAACUAGAUCACAAUUAGGAGUUAAAGUUUUAAUAAGCAUACUAGAUACUAGACAUAAAAAGUUAGACGCUGCCACAAUAGGAAUGAUGGAGAUUGAUGUCUGAAAAUGCUAGAGUGGUUUAUUGUCAACCUGGCUUUAUGAUUCCUUUCAAAUAUUUUUAUAAAGAUAUUCAAAUAACGGUAAAAUCUAAUAGGAUAAGAUAUGAUAGGAAAUAAAGACAACUUGUUACUCUGCGUAGGAUUUAUUGGUAAAUUACAAGUAAAUAGUAGUACAAGAACGAAAUUAGAUUUAAACAACUUAGAAAUAUUUGGAAGUAGAGGAAUUUCUGUUUUAAAAGCAAAAAAAGUAGAUGUUAAAAUUAGAAGAAAUAGAAUGGGAUGUGUCAAAUAUCUUAUUAGAUACUAAUACAAGAGAUCCCACAGAAUUCAAUAUGUACAUUCACUAUAAUGGAGAUCAAGCAAUAACAUUUAGUGUUUACAAACUUAGUAGGAAAGAAGAAGAAGAAUAUGAAGACGAAUUAUAGAGGUACUAGUUCUUUAGAAAAUAAAAGCAAGAAUGAGAGUACGUCCCUCUCAAAUUGGUACCAAAGCCUAGUUCUUGGAAAAUAUGUAUAGAUGGGCAAAGGAAAUGUCAUUAAAUUUAUCAGAUUUGACAAUUGUUAAAAAAACAUUAGAUAUUAUAGAUCUGUUUGGGCCCAAAAUAAUAGUUUGGGCCGAGUGUAGAAUCAUUCUCGGCCCGGAAGGCCUUGCGACAAGAAGACCAUGGAUCGUUCAGCUUGUGGGCUUCCAAACCUAGGCCGGUUAGGUCAAAAUGCAAUGACAAGUCGAGUCCUGAUACAAUAGGGAGUCUCGGCAGG